This 387-nucleotide unclassified non-coding RNA is filed under the name soil metagenome. RNAcentral's name for it is "partial contains 5.8S ribosomal RNA, internal transcribed spacer 2, and large subunit ribosomal RNA". The stretch from base 1 to 120 matches the Rfam family "5.8S ribosomal RNA", at positions 35 to 154 of the family's 154-position model. The record is from RNAcentral.
GAUGAAGAACGUAGCGAAAUGCGAUAAGUAAUGUGAAUUGCAGAAUUCAGUGAAUCAUCGAAUCUUUGAACGCACCUUGCACCCUUUGGUAUUCCGAAGGGCAUGCUCGUUUGAGUGUCAUUGUACUCUCACACUUCUAAUUCCUUUCGGGAUUGGGAGCGGUGGACUUGGGUGUUGCUGCUUUAGUUGUGGCUCACCUCAAAUAAGUUAGUGCAACUCUUGGUUGGACAUAGUACGGCGUGAUAAGUGUCUUCGCCGGCGCCUCUGUAAGGAGUGUGGCCGAUCGGGAGCUCUGUGCUUCAAACCGUCUUCGGACAAUCUUUGACAACUUGACCUCAAAUCGAGUAGGACUACCCGCUGAACUUAAGCAUAUCAAUAAGCGGAGGA